UACGGAGGGAGCUAGCGUUGUUCGGAAAUACUGGGCGUAAAGCGCACGUAGGCGGCGCAGCAAGUCAGGGGUGAAAUCCCGGGGCUCAACCUCGGAACUGCCCUUGAAACUGCAGUGCUAGAAUCUUGGAGAGGCGAGUGGAAUUCCGAGUGUAGAGGUGAAAUUCGUAGAUAUUCGGAAGGACACCAGUGGCGAAGGCGACUCGCUGGACAAGUAUUGACGCUGAGGUGCGAAAGCGUGGGGAGCAAACAGG
This 253-nucleotide ribosomal RNA is filed under the name uncultured bacterium. RNAcentral's name for it is "partial 16S ribosomal RNA". It matches the Rfam family "Bacterial small subunit ribosomal RNA", at positions 524 to 776 of the family's 1533-position model. The record is from RNAcentral.